Molecule: unclassified non-coding RNA, 651 nt
Filed under: Hevea brasiliensis (rubber tree)
Lineage: Eukaryota; Viridiplantae; Streptophyta; Magnoliopsida; Malpighiales; Euphorbiaceae
Source: RNAcentral
AAAGGUAACAUUCUUUCCAUAAACCUGCUUGGCCCAUGGCCCCAAGCUCAACUGGCUUUCCUAACUGAAGCCCAUUGUUCUAAAUGCCUAGAAACGAGCUGGUUUUGAAACUCAUUAAAUUAAAGCCAUUUUUAAGAAAAGAGAAUGAACUGGGCCAGUUCAAUUUUAAAAAUUAAUGUUAUUGGGCUGGUACGAUUUUAGAAAUUAAAGGCAUCAGAGAAAGCAAAACUGAACUGGGUUGGCCAUAGGGAUGAGCAUUGAUAAGUUUGAUUCGGAAAGUUUCAAAGAAAUUAAUGUUAGUAACCGAAUCAAAAUUCAUUAGUCUGAUUAAUUAUUAGCUGAAGGUCAUAUAAAUUAUAAAAGAUAAGAAUGAGAAGAAUAUAUGAGUAACAAGACAAGAUCCAAAUGAUAAUUGAUGGAAAGGCAAUGGAAUUCACCGGGUGCAGUUGUGUUGUUGGUGGAAACUCACAGGUCACACUUGGCCAUUGAACUUGAGCAUAUGAUGUUGAUUUUGAGGUCACUACAACCAAUAUCAUGUCCCUUUCCUGGAGUCCCAUAUUUCGAUCUUUUAUUCAUUAGCUUCUUCAUCUCCAUCUCCAUGCAUCUUAUGGGACAUCAAUGUCCAACCCGGUCCUUCUCUGUCCAUUAGUU